This 82-nucleotide small RNA is filed under the name Aristaeella lactis. RNAcentral describes it as "Gut-1 RNA". It matches the Rfam family "Gut-1 RNA". The record is from RNAcentral. Lineage: Bacteria; Bacillati; Bacillota; Clostridia; Eubacteriales; Aristaeellaceae.
CAAUGAAAUAUCGCUUCGCGAUGUGAAAUAUCCCGCUUCGCGGGAUGUGAAAUAUUUGCCUUCGGCAAAUGUGAAAUGUUCG